GACGCCAGAGAGGGUGAGAGCCCCGUACGGCGGGACGCCGCGCNUCUGUGAAGCUCNUUCGGCGAGUCGAGUAGUUUGGGAAUGCUGCUCUAAAUGGGAGGUAAAUUUCUCCUAAAGCUAAAUACCGGCCGGAGACCGAUAGCGCACAAGUAGAGUGAUCGAAAGAUGAAAAGCACUUUGAAAAGAGGGUCAAACAGUACGUGAAAUUGUUGAAAGGGAAGCGCCCGUGGCCAGACUCGCGCCUCGCAGACCACCCGGCGGACACCGCCGGGGCACGCUGUGGGGUGCGGGCCAGCAUCGGCCUCCGCGGGGGGACAAGGACGGUGGGAACGUGGCUCCUACGGGAGUGUUACAGCCCGCCGCGCCAUGCCCUCGAGGGGGCCGAGGACCGCGCUUCGGCAAGGAUGCUGGCGUAAUGGCCACCGGCGACCCGUCUUGAAACACGGACCAAGGAGUCAAGCAUUGGGGCGAGUGUCCGGGUGGCAAACCCGCACGCGCAAUGAAAGUGAACGUAGGUGGGAGCUUCGGCGCACCACCGACCGAUCCUGAUGUCCUCGGAUGGAUUUGAGUAAGAGCCUCACCGCUUGGACCCGAAAGAUGGUGAACUAUGCCUGAAUAGGGUGAAGCCAGAGGAAACUCUGGUGGAGGCUCGCAGCGGUUCUGACGUGCAAAUCGAUCGUC
RNAcentral lists this ribosomal RNA (681 nucleotides) under Raffaelea aff. amasae. RNAcentral describes it as "partial large subunit ribosomal RNA". It matches the Rfam family "Eukaryotic large subunit ribosomal RNA", at positions 199 to 906 of the family's 3401-position model. The record is from RNAcentral. Lineage: Eukaryota; Fungi; Ascomycota; Sordariomycetes; Ophiostomatales; Ophiostomataceae.